RNAcentral lists this unclassified non-coding RNA (308 nucleotides) under uncultured fungus. RNAcentral describes it as "sequence contains ITS1". The stretch from base 1 to 105 matches the Rfam family "5.8S ribosomal RNA", at positions 50 to 154 of the family's 154-position model. The record is from RNAcentral. Lineage: Eukaryota; Fungi.
GAAAUGCGAUAAGUAGUGUGAAUUGCAGAUUUCAGUGAAUCAUCGAAUCUUUGAACGCACAUUGCGCCCUUUGGUAUUCCUUAGGGCAUGCCUGUUCGAGCGUCAUUUACACCUUCAAGCUCUGCUUGGUGUUGGGCGUCUGUCCCGUGGUCCUCGCGGCCUGGGACUCGCCUCAAAUCUAUUGGCGGCCGGUACCGUGGCUUCGAGCGCAGCAAAUUAGCGACCUCAUCGCCUUUCGGUAGCUGGCUCCCAGAAGCCAUCUUUCAUGUUUUGACCUCGGAUCAGGUAGGGAUACCCGCUGAACUUAA